RNAcentral lists this long non-coding RNA (887 nucleotides) under Marmota monax (woodchuck). Lineage: Eukaryota; Metazoa; Chordata; Mammalia; Rodentia; Sciuridae. The record is from RNAcentral.
CGGGCUCUGGAGGGGGAGGGGAGCGGUGGGGAAGGGCGAGGUCCGGCACCGCCCGCGGCGGGCGCGAGCGGCGGUCGAGGAUUCCGUGGACGGCCUUUGCCUGCCCGGAAACUGGGGGGUGGGCCCGGACCACGGCUCCGGUCGUCCCGUGCAAGCUUCAGGCAUCCGGAGCCCCACAGGGCCUGGUGCUGGUCACGUCGCCGAGUAGCGGUGCACUGUCCCGGACCUCUGCCCUCGGAAGAAAGCGCAUACUUUUGGCACUGCUGGAAAUAAUGGCCUCCGCGAGGAGUGCGCUCGGGGAGCAGCUGCCGGGCCCCAAGUCCCGCGGCCUGGGCGCCGCCCUAGGCCUGGCCGUGCUCGCAGCCUGGAUCCCCUCACCCGCGCCAAAAGUGAAGGAGGAAAAAGGCCUCUGACCCUGGCCAAUACACCCCGGGCUGGAGGGAAUGAAGAGUCGCCUGCGGGGUCUGGCUCGCUGACCAUGGCUCUCCACCGCCGAAGGUCUGUCUGUUGGCGGCACUUUCCGGCCAAAAUUUGAUGCUACCUGCGUUUACCCUGUAUCUUAUCAGUAAUUAAUUAUAGUAUUAUAAGAAAAAGCAAUUAAAAAUGUUAAGCGGGAUCGCCAGGAUGUUGGGGUUUGUUGCUGUGAUCUGGUCUCACUGGGGCCUUCGUGGAGUGCUAGGGGGCUGCUUGUGGACAGACCUGGGAGAAAACGCACUUAGAAUCCUCAUCACACCUUGCAACCCAGAAAAGCGUUUUCUGCCUCCACUACUUGCGAAAACCCUUAGCAAUAAAACUUUCUUAUUCUGACCGUCUCUCGUGUGCAAAUAAAAGUCAUGGGUCUGGUGGUCAAUCCAUAGUAUAAUUGGGAGAAAGAAAAAAAGCCUUCU